Molecule: small nucleolar RNA, 138 nt
Organism: Ailuropoda melanoleuca (giant panda)
Lineage: Eukaryota; Metazoa; Chordata; Mammalia; Carnivora; Ursidae
Source: Ensembl
CCUGAACAUGGUUAGAGCUGGAAGUUGAGGCCCCUGGCUGGCUGAUGAACUCACAAGUGUAGGCAGUGUGCUACUUGAGGGUACCACAAGGGUCUCUGGCCCAGUGAGUGGAGUUUGAUAGUAGUUCUUGCUAUAAGU